ACGGGUGAGUAACGCGUACCGAACCUGCCCAUCACACAGGGAUAGGCUUGCGAAAGCAAGAUUAAUACCUGAUGGUCUCAGUUGUAUGCAUGUAUGAUUGAGUAAAGCCUUCGGGUGGUGAUGGAUGGCGGUGCGUCCCAUUAGGAAGUUGGCGGGGUAACGGCCCACCAAUCCUUCGAUGGGUAGGGGUUCUGAGAGGAAGGUCCCCCACAUUGGAACUGAGAUACGGUCCAAACUCCUACGGGAGGCAGCAGUGAGGAAUAUUGGUCAAUGGGCGAGAGCCUGAACCAGCCAAGUAGCGUGCGGGAUGAAGGCCCUUGUGGUCGUAAACCGCUUUUAUCAGUGAAUAAAGUGCACCACGUGUGGUGUCAUUGCAGGUAGCUGAAGAAAAAGGACCGGCUAAUUCCGUGCCAGCAGCCGCGGUAAUACGGAAGGUCCGGGCGUUAUCCGGAAUUAUUGGGUUUAAAGGGAGCGCAGGCGGGAGUAUAAGUCAGCUGUUAAAUAUCAGGGCCCAACUCUGUUAUGCAGUUGAAACUAUAUUUCUUGAGUACGCACAGGGAUGGCGGAAUUCAGGGUGUAGCGGUGAAAUGCUUAGAUAUCCUGAAGAACUCCGAUCGCGAAGGCAGCCAUCCGGAGCGUAACUGACGCUGAGGCUCGAAGGUGCGGGUAUCGAACAGGAUUAGAU
This 685-nucleotide ribosomal RNA is filed under the name uncultured bacterium. RNAcentral's name for it is "bacterial SSU rRNA". It matches the Rfam family "Bacterial small subunit ribosomal RNA", at positions 102 to 783 of the family's 1533-position model. The record is from RNAcentral.